RNAcentral lists this ribosomal RNA (468 nucleotides) under uncultured bacterium. RNAcentral describes it as "partial 16S ribosomal RNA". It matches the Rfam family "Bacterial small subunit ribosomal RNA", at positions 28 to 507 of the family's 1533-position model. The record is from RNAcentral.
GACGAACGCUGGCGGCGUGCUUAACACAUGCAAGUCGAACGGAAAGGCCCUGCUUUUGCGGGGUGCUCGAGUGGCGAACGGGUGAGUGACACGUGAGUAACCUGCCCUUGACUUAGGGAUAACAUCAGGAAACUGGGGCGAAUACAGGGGAGAAGCUCCUGCAGCAUGGGGGGGGAUGGAGAGAUUCGGCGGUUUGGGAUGGACUGGCGGGUUAUCAGCUUGAUGGGGAGGUAGGGGAUUACCAAGGCUUUGACGGGUAGGCCGCCUGAGAGGGUGACCGGCGUCAUUGGGCCUGAGAGACGGCCCAGACUCCUAUGGUAGGCAGCAGGGGGGAAUAUUGCAGAAUGGCCGCAAGCCUGAUGCAGAAACGCUGCGUGCGGGAUACCGGCUUUCGGGUUGUAAACCGAUUUCGCCUGUGACGUAGAGUGCGUGACGGUACUGGGUAAAGAAGCACCGGCUAACUACGUG